UACGUAGGCGGCCGAAUAAGUUGUAUGUGAAAUCCCGGGGCUCAACCCCGGACGUGCAUACAAAACUAUUUGGCUUGAGUAUGGUAGAGGUAAGUGGAAUUCCUAGUGUAGCGGUGGAAUGCGUAGAUAUUAGGAGGAACACCAGUGGCGAAGGCGACUUACUGGGCCAUAACUGACGCUGAGGCGCGAAAGUGUGGGGAGCAAACAGGAUUAGAUACCCUGGUAGUCC
Molecule: ribosomal RNA, 229 nt
Filed under: uncultured bacterium
Lineage: Bacteria
Description: partial 16S ribosomal RNA
Rfam family: Bacterial small subunit ribosomal RNA
Source: RNAcentral